AACGUAGGGGACAAGCGUUAUCCGGAUUUACUGGGCGUAAAGCGCCCGUAGGCGGCCUGACAAGUUGGACGUGAAAGCUCCUGGCUUAACUGGGAGAGGCCGUUCAAAACUGUCAAGCUAGAGUCUGGAAGAGGAGAGCGGAAUUCCCGGUGUAGUGGUGGAAUGCGUAGAGAUCGGGAGGAACACCAGUGGCGAAGGCGACUUCCUGGCCUGUUCUUGACGCUGAGGCGCGAAAGCUAGGGGAGCAAACGGG
This 253-nucleotide ribosomal RNA is filed under the name uncultured bacterium. RNAcentral describes it as "partial 16S ribosomal RNA". It matches the Rfam family "Bacterial small subunit ribosomal RNA", at positions 524 to 776 of the family's 1533-position model. The record is from RNAcentral.